AUGGCGACGCGGGCACGCCGAGCUCUCAUCUCCCUCCUCGCCCUGCUGCUCGUCUCAGCCAGCGGUGUGGCGUCCAAGUCGUUCGCCAUCACCAACAACUGCGAGUACACGGUGUGGCCGGGCAUCCUCUCCAGCGCGGGCUCCCCGGGGAUGGACAGCACCGGCUUCGCGCUGGCCCCGGGGGAGUCGAGCACCAUGCCGGUGCCCGCGGGGUGGUCGGGGCGGCUCUGGGGCCGGACGCUCUGCUCCACGGACCCCGCCGGCAAGUUCGCGUGCGUGACCGGCGACUGCGGCUCCGGGCGGCAGGACUGCGCCGGCGGCGGGGCCGCGCCGCCCGCCACGCUGGCGGAGUUCACCAUGGACGGCAACGACGGCAUGGACUUCUACGACGUGAGCCUGGUGGACGGCUACAACCUGCCGAUGCUGGUGGCGCCGGAGCAGGGCGCCGCGGCGGGCGGCAACUGCGCGCCGACGGGGUGCGUGGUGGACCUGAACGGCGCGUGCCCGGGCGACCUGCGCGUGUCGUCGACGACGGCGGGGGCGGGCGGCGUGGCGUGCAAGAGCGCGUGCGAGGCGUUCGGGACGGCGCAGUACUGCUGCAGCGGCGAGUACGGCAGCCCCGGCACGUGCCGGCCGUCGGCCUACUCGCAGUUCUUCAAGAACGCGUGCCCGCGCGCCUACAGCUACGCCUACGACGACGCCACCUCCACCUUCACCUGCGCCGGCGGCGUCUCCGCCUACGCCAUCACCUUCUGCCCCAGCACCACCAGCGUGAAGUCGGCCGGGUCGAACCCGCAGGCGCCGGCGGGCCUGCCGCUGAUCAACGGCACGAUGGUGUACCAGGGGGGCGACCAGUUCGCCGGAGCGGCCGCAGCCGCGCGGCCGUCUCUGGACCUCGUCGCCGUCCUCGUCGGCGUGGCGGCGCUCGCGCUCGCGCGCCCCACGCCGCAGUGA
RNAcentral lists this ribosomal RNA (954 nucleotides) under Triticum aestivum (bread wheat). RNAcentral describes it as "partial small subunit ribosomal RNA". The record is from RNAcentral. Lineage: Eukaryota; Viridiplantae; Streptophyta; Magnoliopsida; Poales; Poaceae.